GAUGAACGCUGGCGGUAUGCUUAACACAUGCAAGUCGAACGGGGGUUACCAGUACAAAGGGCUUCGGCCCAAUGAACUGACUAACCUAGUGGCGGACGAGUGAGUAACACGUGAGUAACCAACCUUAUACACAAGGAUAACACUGGGAAACCAGUGCUAAUACUAGAUAUUAUGUAAAGAAGGCAUCUUUUUUAUAUGAAAGAUUUAUCGGUAUAAGACGGGCUCGCGUCCGAUUAGCUAGUUGGUAGGAUAGAAGCCUACCAAGGCGACGAUCGGUAGCCGGACUGAGAGGUCGAUCGGCCACACUGGGACUGAGAACGGCCCAGACUCCUACGGGAGGCAGCAGUGGGGAAUAUUGGGCAAUGGAGGCAACUCUGACCCAGCGAUACCGCGUGAAGGAAGAAGGCCUUCGGGUUGUAAACUUCUUUAGACAGGGAAGAAAGAAAUGACAUUACCUGUAGAAUAAGCCACGGCUAACUACGUG
Molecule: ribosomal RNA, 484 nt
Filed under: uncultured bacterium
Lineage: Bacteria
Description: bacterial SSU rRNA
Rfam family: Bacterial small subunit ribosomal RNA
Source: RNAcentral